UACGUAGGCAGCGAGCGUUGUUCGGAGUUAUUGGGCGUAAAGAGCGUGUAGGCGGCCAGGCAGGUCCGCUGUGAAAACUCGAGGCUCAACCUCGAGAGGUCGGUGGAAACCGUCUGGCUAGAGUCCGGAAGAGGAGAGUGGAAUUCCCGGUGUAGCGGUGAAAUGCGCAGAUAUCGGGAAGAACACCCGUGGCGAAGGCGGCUCUCUGGGACGGUACUGACGCUGAGACGCGAAAGCGUGGGGAGCGAACAGG
RNAcentral lists this ribosomal RNA (253 nucleotides) under uncultured bacterium. RNAcentral describes it as "partial 16S ribosomal RNA". It matches the Rfam family "Bacterial small subunit ribosomal RNA", at positions 524 to 776 of the family's 1533-position model. The record is from RNAcentral.